AUUGAACGCUGGCGGCAUGCUUUACACCUGCAAGUCGAACGGUAACAGGCCGCAAGGUGCUGACGAGUGGCGAACGGGUGAGUAAUGCAUCGGAACGUGCCCAGUCGUGGGGGAUAACUACUCGAAAGAGUAGCUAAUACCGCAUACGAUCUAUGGAUGAAAGCGGGGGACCGUAAGGCCUCGCGCGAUUGGAGCGGCCGAUGUCAGAUUAGGUAGUUGGUGGGGUAAAGGCUUACCAAGCCAACGAUCUGUAGCUGGUCUGAGAGGACGACCAGCCACACUGGGACUGAGACACGGCCCAGACUCCUACGGGAGGCAGCAGUGGGGAAUUUUGGACAAUGGGCGCAAGCCUGAUCCAGCAAUGCCGCGUGCAGGAAGAAGGCCUUCGGGUUGUAAACUGCUUUUGUACGGAACGAAACGGCUCUGGUUAAUACCCGGGGCUAAUGACGGUACCGUAAGAAUAAGCACCGGCUAACUACGUG
Molecule: ribosomal RNA, 482 nt
Filed under: uncultured bacterium
Lineage: Bacteria
Description: partial 16S ribosomal RNA
Rfam family: Bacterial small subunit ribosomal RNA
Source: RNAcentral